CACACGGCAAAGUCAGCCCUCAAAGUUCAUGGGAACCCCGUCUUCCCAGAUGGGUCGUUUGCCGUGUGGUAGCCCGGGUUUUCAGCUGUCCGGGAUCGCAGUCCUACAAAACCCCAGGGUGCAGCGAUGCCCUCGGGGUUCCCGAGCCUCGCACUGAAUACUCCCAGGGUUCAAGGUUGUCUGAAUUCUGUCGUCACUGCACUGAAUAUUCCCGGGGUUCAAGGUUGUCUGAAUUCUGUCGUCACUUCCCUUGUUGCCACUCCUGCCUGUCACCUCUGGUCUCAGUUAGUGACUUGCCGGUAACCUCUGGUCUCUGCUUCUGUUCUGCUGCGUCUGCGGGUCACAGCUGGCUUUGGAGCAGAAUGUCAAGCGUAAGUCCCUGGCCUUGGAUGGAGCAUCAAAGGGCCGAUGUGUGGGACAAACGGUUAGGACGAAGAAUCCGAAGAAAAGAACCUCAAAGCCUGGCUGUCUGGAGAUCCCGGGUGCAAAUUUCCACUCGGGCGGUCGCUUCCUCUGUGACCUUGACCCGGCCCCAUCCCCUUACAGGGCCUCAGUUUCCUCGUCUGUAAAAUGGGAUGUUGUACUGGACCGGUGGUUUCGUUUCAACCAAUCUAUGAAAAGGAGAGUAGAGCGACUCAACUGGGGUGUCAGGUUAGCACGCUUGCUUCCUCUUUCUCCAUGUGUAUCCGUCUCGUGCAUGCACGUCCACACCCAGGCACCCUUGCACCUCCGUGUAAGCCUUUGUGUGGAACCAUCCGGAAGUGGCAGACACCAGGACCCUCCGUCCCCAGAUUCUUCUGCCUGCAUUUCUUCCUGAGAAUGUGAGCAUUCUGCAUAAUCACAAUAGUAUUAUCACAGUAAGAAAAUUAAAGACGAUUCCAGGGUGGGGCGCCUGGCUGGCUCAGUCAGUUAAGCAUCCGACUCUUGACCUCGGCCCACGUCGCGGCCUCACAGCUCGUGACUUCAGACACCACAUCGGGCUCUGCACUGGUGGCGAGGAGCCUGCUUGGAAUUCUGUCUCUCCUUCUCUCUGCCCUUCCCCCUCUUGUUCUCUCUCUCUCUCCCUCCCUCUCUCUCUCUCUCCCUCCCUCUCUCUCUCUCUCUCUCACUCCCUUUCUCAAAAUGAAUAAAUAAACAUAAUUUUUUUUUUUUUUUAAUUCCAGGGCGCCUACAUGGCUCAGUCAGUUGAGCAUCUGACUUCAGGCCAGGUCGUGAUCUCACGGUUUGUGGGUUCAAACCCCGCAUCAGGCUCUCUGCUGUCAGCUCAGAGCCUGCUUCAGAUCCUCUGUGCCCCCCCUCCCCUGCCCCUCC
Molecule: long non-coding RNA, 1311 nt
Filed under: Lynx pardinus (Iberian lynx)
Lineage: Eukaryota; Metazoa; Chordata; Mammalia; Carnivora; Felidae
Source: RNAcentral